This 445-nucleotide ribosomal RNA is filed under the name uncultured Psychrobacter sp. Its description in RNAcentral is "bacterial SSU rRNA". It matches the Rfam family "Bacterial small subunit ribosomal RNA", at positions 343 to 780 of the family's 1533-position model. Lineage: Bacteria; Pseudomonadati; Pseudomonadota; Gammaproteobacteria; Moraxellales; Moraxellaceae. The record is from RNAcentral.
GGGAGGCAGCAGUAGGGAAUAUUGGACAAUGGGGGAAACCCUGAUCCAGCCAUGCCGCGUGUGUGAAGAAGGCCUUUUGGUUGUAAAGCACUUUAAGCAGUGAAGAAGACUCUUCGGUUAAUACCCGGAGACGAUGACAUUAGCUGCAGAAUAAGCACCGGCUAACUCUGUGCCAGCAGCCGCGGUAAUACAGAGGGUGCAAGCGUUAAUCGGAAUUACUGGGCGUAAAGCGAGCGUAGGUGGCUUGAUAAGUCAGAUGUGAAAUCCCCGGGCUUAACCUGGGAACUGCAUCUGAAACUGUUAGGCUAGAGUAGGUGAGAGGGAAGUAGAAUUUCAGGUGUAGCGGUGAAAUGCGUAGAGAUCUGAAGGAAUACCGAUGGCGAAGGCAGCUUCCUGGCAUCAUACUGACACUGAGGCUCGAAAGCAUGGGGAGCAAACAGGAUUA